Gossypium arboreum is the source of this 432-nucleotide long non-coding RNA. RefSeq lists it as uncharacterized. NCBI's taxonomy places the organism in Eukaryota, Viridiplantae, Streptophyta, Magnoliopsida, Malvales, Malvaceae. The transcript has 2 exons. The record is from RefSeq and is a predicted model, not a curated record.
AUUGCCAACCGAGUGGAUAGCGUAGAGAUUGAAACUUUUGCAUUGCGGUUGUGGUUUACGACAUGGAAAAAGGAAUUACCAUCAUACCAGUGAUAUUUUCAUAUCAUCAAAGGAUUUAGUUUUCCACUGUGCCACGAGGCGUAUCGGUGAUGCAAUAAUUUUCAAUUGCUUCGUGGUUACAACAUGAGAUUGAAUCCCACCAAAUGUGCUUUCUCAUUGGAUCUGGAAAGUUUUUAGGAUUUAUGGUAUCAAACAGAGGCAUUGAAGCAAAACUUGAGAAAGUUCAAGCCAUUUUGGAUCCAUAUGAUGAACACGAAUGUAAUUCUCUCUAAACUUUUGAAUGAGUUUUAUAAAAAAUUUCUCUUAUGCUAAACUAGGUAUUUUCAUGUGAAGUAGGGAGAAGGAAUAAUAUACUUACCUUUUUCUUCCAAA